Molecule: ribosomal RNA, 555 nt
Filed under: Enterococcus sp. 9C
Lineage: Bacteria; Bacillati; Bacillota; Bacilli; Lactobacillales; Enterococcaceae
Description: bacterial SSU rRNA
Rfam family: Bacterial small subunit ribosomal RNA
Source: RNAcentral
GGCGGCGUGCCUAUACAUGCAAGUCGAACGCUUCUUUUCCCACCGGAGCUUGCUCCACCGGGAAAAGAGGAGUGGCGAACGGGUGAGUAACACGUGGGUAACCUGCCCAUCAGAAGGGGAUAACACUUGGAAACAGGUGCUAAUACCGUAUAACAAUCGAAACCGCAUGGUUUCGUUUUGAAAGGCGCUUUACGGUGCCGCUGAUGGAUGGACCCGCGGUGCAUUAGCUAGUUGGUGAGGUAACGGCUCACCAAGGCCACGAUGCAUAGCCGACCUGAGAGGGUGAUCGGCCACAUUGGGACUGAGACACGGCCCAAACUCCUACGGGAGGCAGCAGUAGGGAAUCUUCGGCAAUGGACGAAAGUUUGACCGUGCAACUCCGCGAGAGUGAAGAAGGUUUACGUAUCGUAAAACUCUGUUGUUAGAGAAAAUCAAAGGUGAGGGUAGGUAUAUUUCCCUUGACGGUAUCUUAGAUCUUAGCUACAGCUAUCUACUCGUGAGGGACCGCGUGAUCACUUUUGUGUUUUGGGUCUACCCCAAUCGGGGGACCACUCC